RNAcentral lists this ribosomal RNA (385 nucleotides) under uncultured eukaryote. RNAcentral's name for it is "partial 18S ribosomal RNA". It matches the Rfam family "Eukaryotic small subunit ribosomal RNA", at positions 592 to 975 of the family's 1831-position model. The record is from RNAcentral.
CAAUAGCGUAUAUUAAAGUUGUUGCAGUUAAAAAGCUCGUAGUUGGAUUUCUGGACGGAGCAGCCGGUCCGCCGCUGUGCGGUGUGUACUCGUGCUUGACUCGGUUCAUCCUUGUGGGGAAGCGCAUUUCGGCAUUCAGUUGUCGAGGCGGGGAACCACAUCAUUUACUGUGAAAAAAUUAGAGUGUUUAAAGCAGGCAUUUUGCUGUGAAUACAUUAGCAUGGAAUAAUAACAUAGGACUUUGAUUCUAUUUUGUUGGUUGGAGAUCAAGGUAAUGAUUAAUAGGGAUAGUUGGGGGUAUUCAUAUUUAAUUGUCAGAGGUGAAAUUCUUGGAUUUAUGAAAGAUGAACUCAUGCGAAAGCAUUUACCAAGGAUGUUUNCAUUA